This 253-nucleotide ribosomal RNA is filed under the name uncultured bacterium. RNAcentral describes it as "partial 16S ribosomal RNA". It matches the Rfam family "Bacterial small subunit ribosomal RNA", at positions 524 to 776 of the family's 1533-position model. The record is from RNAcentral.
UACGUAGGUCGCAAGCGUUGUCCGGAAUCAUUGGGCGUAAAGCGCGUGUAGGCGGCUCGGUAAGUCCGCUGUGAAAGUCGGGGGCUCAACCCUCGGAUGCCGGUGGAUACUGUCGGGCUAGAGUACGGAAGAGGCGAGUGGAAUUCCUGGUGUAGCGGUGAAAUGCGCAGAUAUCAGGAGGAACACCAAUUGCGAAGGCAGCUCGCUGGGACGUUACUGACGCUGAGACGCGAAAGCGUGGGGAGCAAACAGG